AGAACAUCAAGGAAGAAGAAGUACUGGAAGUGAUGGUGGAAGUCAUCAAUACUGAGGAGGAGAAUGAAGGCGCGGUGGUGGAAGAGGAAGAAUCAGAAGAAGAAAGUGAGGAGGAAAAAUAUCAGGCUCUCAUGUGGAGGUGGACGGUGGAGGGCUCCGAGCUGCCAGUAAGGAUACGAACAGUGAAGAAAUUGGAGCCACCCUUUAAGAUGGACACUAUCAAGGAGGAAAUAGAACUGGAGGAAGAAGAGG
This is a long non-coding RNA of Bufo bufo (common toad), 252 nucleotides long. RefSeq lists it as uncharacterized. The transcript has 4 exons. Lineage: Eukaryota; Metazoa; Chordata; Amphibia; Anura; Bufonidae. The record is from RefSeq and is a predicted model, not a curated record.